This 253-nucleotide ribosomal RNA is filed under the name uncultured bacterium. RNAcentral describes it as "partial 16S ribosomal RNA". It matches the Rfam family "Bacterial small subunit ribosomal RNA", at positions 524 to 776 of the family's 1533-position model. The record is from RNAcentral.
UACGUAGGGUGCUAGCGUUGUCCGGAUUUACUGGGCGUAAAGGGUGCUCAGGUGGGUUUGUAAGUCAGAGGUGAAAUCCCAAAGCUUAACUUUGGAGCUGCGUUUGAUACUGCAAGUCUAGAGUUUGAGAGAGGGUAAUGGAAUAUCUGGUGUAGCAGUGAAAUGCGUAGAUAUCAGAUAGAACACCAAUGGCGAAGGCAGUUACCUGGCUCAAAACUGACGCUAAAGCACGAAAGUGUGGGGAGCAAACAGG